CUCGCCCGCCCCCCAGUCGUCCAAGCCGCGCGCCAUCUGGUUACCCGGACCGAGAGCGGAGCGGAGCAAGCCGCGGGCGCCCAUGCGCCUUCCCGCCGCGCUCUCCGCUGGAUGGACCCCGACGCCGCCUUCGGAGAAGCCCGGAGGAGCCUGGAUGAGGUGCCCGCCAAGAGCAUGGACAGCUUGCUGAGCUCGCCGACGGCCUUCCCGGGCGGCGGCCACUGCAGGAACGUGACCCUGGGCGGCCUCAGCCCGACGAUGCACGGUUCCGCUUACCCCGCUCCGGCCCUGGACGGCCCUCCUCCCUCCGGCCCCGGAGACGCGUCGACAAAGCAAUGCAUUCCGUGCCCGGCCAUCCCGCAGGCAUCCUCGACGACCAGCGCCUCGCCCUUCUCCUGCGGAUAUUUCGGCGGUGCCUACUGCUCCUACCGAGUGGCCCGCGGUUCCCUCAAGCCGUGCCCCGCGCCGCCUCAGCCCGGCUACCCGACGGCGGCGGAGAAGUACCUGGACGCCUGCAGCUCGGCGCCCGCCGCCGCGGCUCCCGAGGAGUACCAGACGCGCCCAGCCGAGUUCGCCUUCUACCCGGGUUACGCGGCGGGGCCUUACCAGCCGAUGGCCAGCUACCUGGACGUUUCGGUAGUACAGACCAUCGGAGGGCCUCCUGGCGACGCCAGGCACGAAGCGCUCCUGCCCGUGGACCCUUACCACGAACCCUGGGCCUUGGCCGGGGGAUGGAACAACCAAAUGUGUUGUCCAAAAGAUCAAAGCCCAGCAGGACACUUUUGGAAAACUGCUUUCGCAGAAGCUGUAGGCCAGCACCCUCCGGAGGGGUGUACCUUCCGCCGGGGGCGCAAGAAGAGGAUCCCUUACAGCAAAGGGCAGCUGAAAGAGCUGGAGAAGGAAUACUCCAACAGCAAGUUCAUCACCAAGGACAAGAGGAGAAAGAUCUCCGCCGCCACCAACCUCACCGAGAGACAGAUCACCAUUUGGUUCCAGAACCGCAGGGUCAAGGAGAAGAAGGUCGUGGCCAAGGUCAAAGGCACCAGUGCGCCCGCGCCCGCGCCUGCCACCACCAACAGCAGCGGCGCCGGCAGCGCCAGCAGCACCCCGUGAGACGCAGGGACAGACUCUCGGAGGAGGAAUCCAUGGAAAGGCGGCGGGAAAGAAGCUCCCCCCGCGAGGAAGGGAGGGGGGAAUUAACGCAGGCUUCUCUGCUGCCUCCCCAAAGCCUUGCGGGAACAGGAGAUGGUGGGGGGAAGGAGGCCGCGGGCGGAGGAGGAGGAGGAGAAGGGAGGAGGAAACGAGUGCAGCAUUACGCACGUGGACGCUUCAAUGGCUUCUCAGCUCUCCAACCUCCCACCGUCUCCCUUCUCCGCCUCGGUGGAAGCCCACGAAAUUCGCUUAGCGCUGGCGUGGCUGGCGGCCUCUCCUAGCCUCUCUCCUUUAAAAAAAAAAAGUUAAUUAUCGUCGUUGUUAUUGUUAUUGCUCCAAUAAGUUAAAACCCGAUUUGCAAAGCAGACGGUGUUUUUUUUAUUUUAUUUUUAAGCGAUGCGUUGUUGUUAUUGUUUUUAUUAUUUUAUUAUGGGGGGAGCUGGGAAGGGAGAAGGAACCGUGUGCAAUUUGCAAUUCAUUUUUAUGUGUUGGUUUUUUUCGGGGGGAGGGGCGUUGCCGCCUUAGCGCCAUUGCUAUGCGAAUUAUAUUCUAUUUUUCUUUGUACCAAGUUCCGUAAUUCAGAGCUGCUUUAGGGGGUGGGGGGGGGAAAGACGAAAAUAAAACCAAGAAAACGACAACUGCCUAUCAAUCGAACCGAAUGUUAAAUAAAUUCUCCAUAAGCACCACGAUGGCUCGGCUUGCUUUCGGUUCCGUUUGUCUGUUCGUCGAAUGGGAACAUUUUGCAGAAGCGAAGGAACAGACUGUUCUUUCAUCUGUGUGAAAUAUUGAUAGGAAUUUUUACCACGAAGAAAAUCUAUUACACAUACAUACAUACAACAUAAUCUAUGUUUUAGGGGACUUGUAAAUUUGAGAGGUUAUAAUCUUUAUUAAAAUCUCAGCAUUGCAUAUGACGAAAUUAAUAUUUUAGAAUGGCUUGUAUGUAUACGUAUAUGUAUGUAUGUAUGUAUGUGUAUAUAAGCUAACCACCGAUUGACGAUUUUUUUUGGGGGGGGUUGAUUAAUCAUAUGACAAUGAUCCCUUUAUCGAUUGCAUUUAAAUGAAUUUGAGUACUACCAAAAGUUAAUAAGUGCCUUGGAAGACACUGAACGGUACGCUAGAGAAUUUACAAUACAGCAAACCGAUAGUUGCAAGGGGAAGUCAACUUUAAAUGUUUUAUUUUUCAUUCCCUAUUUACCACUCCAGAAAAAGGACUUCCCUUCAAGCCCAGUCCCACGGAUUAAAAACCUGCUCCAUCCGCUAAAGCGUGGAGGCCUAUUUUGCUUGUCUGUAUAAAAUACAAUGGAACAUAAAGUACUGAAACCAUAUAUGCGCACUCAGAACGGGGGCAAAUCGUUUUGAAUCCAGCGAAUCUUGUUGGAAAGUAAAUAUGGAUGGGUAAAUUAUAACGUUGUAAAUUGUUUUGGAUGUUGCCUACUAUUAUUGACGUCCUGCUCCUUAGCUACAUAAAAUUGGGAGCUAGUUCUCUAGAUGAAUUGGUUUAGAAUCUGGGUAAUUAAAGGGGAGUUUGUGCGUGGGAGGGGACGGUGAGAGGAGGACCCGGAAGCAGACGCUUCUCCUAGUGCCAGUGCAUAGCACGAGGGUAGCCAACAGGGCGCCCUCUCCAUGAUGUUGGACUCGGACUCCCAUCAGCCUCAGGCAGUCCAGCCUAUAGCCAGGGAUCAUGGGAGUUGUAGUCCAGCAGCAUUUGAAGGCCACUACCUUGGCUACCCCUGGUUUAGUCAAUACUAAUAGUGCGGUGACUGUAGGUCCUUAAAGAAAUUAUUUAUCCGGGGCGUGUGAUGAGACUUUAGUUCAGAAUCUCAUGAUUCUCUAGAGGAGAAGGGGGGGGGGGAGCUUUUCGAAAUCGAAGAAAAUACAGCCAGGCCUACACUUUGUUUACACUCCUGUACUAACCGUGCAAUCCUACACAGAAGUAAACCACUUUGAGAUCAGUGGGACUUACUUCCAAGUAACUGUGUGUUUAGGACUGCAGCUUUUACUAUAAUUUUGAAGCAACUUCCACUGAAAUCAAUGUGCCUUACUUGGGGGGGGGGGGUAUUUCUAAUCAAAGGAAAUUCUUUCGCAGAACAUGGGUUGUUUCAGCAUGAUUUUGGUACUGUUCAAGCCCCCACAAUCUGAUUCUGGUGCUUAGAAGUAACCACCCACUGAUUUCAAUGCAGCUUGCUCAUAGGAGUGUCUUAUGUUCAUCAGUUGUCUGUUUAUUAUUAUUAGUGUUAUUAUUUGUACUUAUAUACGCAUGUAUAUAAUUUAUUCUGAAUGCCACAGAGAUUGCAUAAGCAGUGCUCAUUAUCUGAC
RNAcentral lists this long non-coding RNA (3468 nucleotides) under Podarcis muralis (Common wall lizard). Its description in RNAcentral is "lncRNA (ENSPMRG00000013152.1)". Lineage: Eukaryota; Metazoa; Chordata; Lepidosauria; Squamata; Lacertidae. The record is from RNAcentral.